RNAcentral lists this ribosomal RNA (723 nucleotides) under uncultured Gammaproteobacteria bacterium. RNAcentral describes it as "bacterial SSU rRNA". It matches the Rfam family "Bacterial small subunit ribosomal RNA", at positions 57 to 771 of the family's 1533-position model. Lineage: Bacteria; Pseudomonadati; Pseudomonadota; Gammaproteobacteria. The record is from RNAcentral.
GCAGUCGACGGAAACGAUGGAGAGCUUGCUCUCCAGGCGUCGAGUGGCGGACGGGUGAGUAAUGCAUAGGAAUCUGCCCAGUAGCGGGGGACAACUUGGGGAAACUCAAGCUAAUACCGCAUACGCCCUACGGGGGAAAGCGGGGGACCUUCGGGCCUCGCACUAUUGGAUGAGCCUAUGUCUGAUUAGCUUGUUGGUAGGGUAACGGCCUACCAAGGCGACGAUCAGUAGCUGGUCUGAGAGGACGAUCAGCCACACUGGGACUGAGACACGGCCCAGACUCCUACGGGAGGCAGCAGUGGGGAAUAUUGCACAAUGGGCGAAAGCCUGAUGCAGCAAUGCCGCGUGUGUGAAGAAGGCCUGCGGGUUGUAAAGCACUUUCAGUUGGGAGGAAAAGCAAUGGGCCAAUACCCCGUUGUCUUGACGUUACCUACAGAAGAAGCACCGGCUAACUCUGUGCCAGCAGCCGCGGUAAUACAGAGGGUGCAAGCGUUAAUCGGAAUUACUGGGCGUAAAGCGCGCGUAGGCGGCUUGGUCAGUCGGAUGUGAAAGCCCCGGGCUUAACCUGGGAAUUGCAUUCGAUACUGCCAGGCUAGAGUGUAGUAGAGGGAAGCGGAAUUCCAGGUGUAGCGGUGAAAUGCGUAGAUAUCUGGAGGAACAUCAGUGGCGAAGGCGGCUUCCUGGACUAACACUGACGCUGAGGUGCGAAAGCGUGGGGAGCAA